This 71-nucleotide transfer RNA is filed under the name bovine gut metagenome. It matches the Rfam family "tRNA". Rfam says of the family: Transfer RNA (tRNA) molecules are approximately 80 nucleotides in length. Their secondary structure includes four short double-helical elements and three loops (D, anti-codon, and T loops). The record is from RNAcentral.
GGGAAUUAGCUCAGCUGGUAGAGCACUUGGUUCGCAAUCAAGGGGUCGUCGGUUCGAAUCCGAUAUUCUCC